UAAAGAACCUACCUUAUAGACAGGGACAACUAUUGGAAACGAUAGCUAAUACCUGAUAAGAAAGAAACUCGCAUGAGAGAAGUUCGAAAGUCGGAGCAAUCUGACACUAUAAGAUGGCUUUGCGGUGCAUUAGCUAGUUGGUAGGGUAAAAGCCUACCAAGGCGACGAUGCAUAGCCGACCUGAGAGGGUGAUCGGCCACAUUGGGACUGAGACACGGCCCAGACUCCUACGGGAGGCAGCAGCU
Molecule: ribosomal RNA, 245 nt
Filed under: uncultured Gemella sp.
Lineage: Bacteria; Bacillati; Bacillota; Bacilli; Caryophanales; Gemellaceae
Description: partial 16S ribosomal RNA
Rfam family: Bacterial small subunit ribosomal RNA
Source: RNAcentral